This 75-nucleotide transfer RNA is filed under the name Methanobacteriota archaeon. Its description in RNAcentral is "Euryarchaeota archaeon (soil metagenome) tRNA-Ile". It matches the Rfam family "tRNA". Rfam says of the family: Transfer RNA (tRNA) molecules are approximately 80 nucleotides in length. Lineage: Archaea; Methanobacteriati; Methanobacteriota. The record is from RNAcentral.
GGGCCCGUAGCUUAGUCUGGUCAGAGCGACAGGCUCAUAACCUGUUGGUCGACGGUUCAAAUCCGUCCGGGCCCA